AUUGAACGCUGGCGGCAUGCCUUACACAUGCAAGUCGAACGGCAGCAUGAUCUCGCUUGCUAGAUUGAUGGCGAGUGGCGAACGGGUGAGUCAUACAUCGGAACUUGCCCUGUAGUGGGGGAUAACUAGUCGAAAGAUUAGCUAAUACCGCAUACGACCUGAGGGUGAAAGUGGGGGACCGCAAGGCCUCAUGCUAUAGGAGCGGCCGAUGUCUGAUUAGCUAGUUGGUGAGGUAAAGGCUCACCAAGGCGACGAUCAGUAGCUGGUCUGAGAGGACGAUCAGCCACACUGGGACUGAGACACGGCCCAGACUCCUACGGGAGGCAGCAGUGGGGAAUUUUGGACAAUGGGCGAAAGCCUGAUCCAGCAAUGCCGCGUGUGUGAAGAAGGCCUUCGGGUUGUAAAGCACUUUUGUCCGGAAAGAAAUGGCUCUGGUUAAUACCUGGGGUCGAUGACGGUACCGGAAGAAUAAGGACCGGCUAACUACGUG
This 490-nucleotide ribosomal RNA is filed under the name uncultured bacterium. Its description in RNAcentral is "partial 16S ribosomal RNA". It matches the Rfam family "Bacterial small subunit ribosomal RNA", at positions 30 to 507 of the family's 1533-position model. The record is from RNAcentral.